This is a long non-coding RNA of Leopardus geoffroyi (Geoffroy's cat), 947 nucleotides long. RefSeq lists it as uncharacterized. The transcript is spliced from 2 exons. Lineage: Eukaryota; Metazoa; Chordata; Mammalia; Carnivora; Felidae. The record is from RefSeq and is a predicted model, not a curated record.
UUUUUUUAAAGGGGGUAAAGGAACACAAAUGGGUUUCAAGGCAAUUUUCAUGGCAAGAAGCGCAUACAUACGGCGUACGUUCCACGGGCGCCAUCCCCACCGUCUAAAGGCCAAACAACGAAAACCAACGGCGGGCAGGUACCGGCGGGGAGGUCAGGAGGCGCCCCGCGAGCUCUCUCCGCCGCCCCCCGCCUUCCCCCGGGGUCCACCCACCCCCCCCCCCCGGGCCUGGCCCCGCUUUCGCGUCCGCGACCACGCCAACUAGUUCUGGCGCCGCCCGAGGAGAAAGAAGUCCUCCCGGGGUGACACGCCGCAGCUGGGACCGCGACCACCCGCACCGGGGGCAGGGGGAGGGACCGCCUCGCCCGCGCGCCGCGCGCCACCCGGGGGCUCCCCGCGCGGACGGCCUCGAGCUCGCCCGCCCCGCCCCGCAGGGCCCCGCCCCCCACCCCGCGGCCCAGACGCGGCCCGGGCGGCCGGUCCCACGCGCCCCGCGACCCUUUGUGACGCCCGCGGCCCGCACAGGCCCUGCGGCCCGCGGGCGGCCGGCAUCCCCGCGUCCAGGCGCGGCCCGGCCCGGCCCACCUUGAUGCGGUUCAGGACCCCGCUGUUCUCCAGCGUCUGCACCAGCAGGUCUCAAGAGAAACGUGGUCAACAGGAAAGAACCAUCAAUCAUAGGCCCCAACAAGGAAAACUGCACUGCAUCGUCUAGAAAAAAUCAGCCUCUGCUGUAGUUCAGCCAGUGAGAAAUCAUCACCACCCUGAACUCCUGCUUUUCUCCAGAGGACUUUGGUUCAAAACACCCCCUCCCAAUCCCCCCACUUCUCCACAAAAUAACGUUCCGUCCUUUGUUUGGAGGACUUACUAUGCUUUUGCCGAGGUUUGCGUGUCCUAAAUUGCAAUUCUCUGUUAUUCCCAAAGAAACCCGUUUUUGCUGGUGAAAAUAA